AUGACUGAUAUGAUAGAUUAAAUGUAUUCUAAAAUUUCUCUUAUUUUGCAUGCUAAAACUACCGCAUCGAUUUUAUUGUACCAUCAAUAGUAUCUUAUCAAUAUGCUGUGUGCAUUUUACUCAAAGAUUGAAACACAAAUUGAUAAUACUGUUUUUUUUCCAAUGAAUCAUUAGUUAUUUGAGCACUAGUUCAAGGAAAUAAAGUUGAGCAGUCUCUCUCAAGCUCUCACGUCCAUUAUCCAACAGGCAACAAACCAUGGCUGAAUAAUUGAAGUUCUUGGAUACAUCUCACGUUCUAACUAAAUAUCAUAUCGUGCCCCAUCAUCAUUUGCUUGCGUAAAACGUGUCAUUUCUAGCCUCUUAACUUGCAUUAAUUUCAUUCCCGAGAGAGAGAGAGGAGGGGAAGGGAAAAAAAAAAAAAAAAGACACUUACAAUAGUUAUUCCUACAAACCCAAGUUAGGAUUUUAUUAACCCUAAACGCAAAACCCAAAAAUCUGCUAGGGUAUCCCUUCACGCAUGCAGAGCCAAAACACAGCCGUAUCCCCAACAAGUGUCACUCAUCCAGAGCCCAAGACAUAUUGUCGUUGUUCUUCAUUACAUGCAUUUAGCCAAAUGUUAUUCAGAGUAAAAGGCCUAAAGGUUAAAGGAGACUUCACGCUAUGUAAAUUAUGGCUCAUGCAAAAUCAACUUCACCCACGUAAUACCUAUACACUGAACACGAGUCACUGCCACACUGUUACUCUCUCAACGUGUCCUCUUCCUUCCGCCACGUAACCUCACGCCACCCUUCCCAGCCACGUGUCCUUCAUUAACCCAUGUGAUCUAUCGGCGUGUCCCCGCUUCGGGUUCCGUUACUUAAUCUUUUCGUUCUGGUUUUCCCGCAAUAUUGUUCGCCUAGGAAAGGAGGAAAAAUGAAAACCAACGCCUGAGACCCCAGUUUUUGUACUUUGUAAGACGAAGAUGACCUAACUUCAGUACUUAACCCUAGUUCACUUACUGCUCUAACUAGGGUUACUCUCGUGAUUGCCUUGUCUGGCACGUGUCACUUCACUUUAUCCUCUUGUCAACUUCACGCACCAUAUAUAGUAGUACAAUUGCCUGCCAGCCAGAUCAUAGCGCGUGGAGCCCUAUUCUCUUUAGCCUUUAGGCUUUAGGGGGGGUCAAGUGGUCCCGACGCCCCCAGUAUUCGUAUCUGUCAUUAUCACGUUGUCCAAUCGUUGCCCUCCACGUUCAUAUACGAAUCCAGUUUGGUGAUUGUGUUUGCUGCCAACCUUAUUUAAACAAUUUGAGUACGAUUAAGGGUUGUUCAGGAAUUUAUGUGAACAAUACUGGGGCCAAACUAUGAAUUUACAAAUCUUGUGGGGUCGGUUUAACACUUUAACAAACGGGGAGGGGUCCCGGGCGGAGGGAAGUGCAGUGUGAUUUGUACACGUGUUUGAGGAUGGAAGAAAUGGGGUGCCUAGAUAUUCCUUGGGCGUCAACGACGUUGACAGGUGGACCCACGUUUCAACAUCAUAAGUGAUACGUACUAGCAUUUGAUUGGACCACAACACCCAAGCCAAGCCGAAUAAAGUUGGAGCCUUCAAUUUAAAAUUAAAAAUAAAAGGAAAAAGAAAAAAAAAUCUUGGCUUAAUUCUCGUAAUUCACGAUGCAGG
RNAcentral lists this long non-coding RNA (1656 nucleotides) under Citrus maxima (pomelo). RNAcentral's name for it is "long non-coding RNA (CMAX_LNC003550)". Lineage: Eukaryota; Viridiplantae; Streptophyta; Magnoliopsida; Sapindales; Rutaceae. The record is from RNAcentral.